UACGGGGGGGGCAAGCGUUGUUCGAAAUUACUGGGCGUAAAGGGCUCGUAGGCGGCCAACUAAGUCGGACGUGAAAUCCCCAGGCUCAACCUGGGAACUGCGUCCGAUACUGGAUGGCUUGAAUCCGGGAGAGGGAUGCAGAAUUCCAGGUGUAGCGGUGAAAUGCGUAGAUAUCUGGAGGAAUACCGGUGGCGAAGGCGGCAUCCUGGACCGGCAUUGACGCUGAGGAGCGAAAGCCAGGGGAGCAAACGGG
Molecule: ribosomal RNA, 253 nt
Filed under: uncultured bacterium
Lineage: Bacteria
Description: partial 16S ribosomal RNA
Rfam family: Bacterial small subunit ribosomal RNA
Source: RNAcentral